Molecule: transfer RNA, 66 nt
Filed under: Anthribidae sp. 2 ACP-2013
Lineage: Eukaryota; Metazoa; Arthropoda; Insecta; Coleoptera; Anthribidae
Description: tRNA-Leu
Source: RNAcentral
AGUUAUUUUGGCAGAUUAGUGCGUAAGAUUUAGAAUCUUUACAUAUAAUUUUAUAUUAUAAAUAAU